This is a long non-coding RNA of Sarcophilus harrisii (Tasmanian devil), 2171 nucleotides long. RefSeq lists it as uncharacterized. Lineage: Eukaryota; Metazoa; Chordata; Mammalia; Dasyuromorphia; Dasyuridae. The record is from RefSeq and is a predicted model, not a curated record. The transcript is spliced from 4 exons.
CAGCCAAGGAAUUUCUCAACUAAAUGCUGGGAGGGAAAGUGUCCUUUCCCAGAGAAUCAGUUCUUUACCUCAGCAACCGGGGAUAAUGAAACACACAUCUGCAUCUGCUUUUCUGCAAAAUUAAGCAUUCCAGCAAGGCCUGAACUAGAUACAUGAAAUGAAAUUGUGACUGUAAACUCAGAGUCAGUCUCUUGGCAAAGCUGCAAAGGAGGUGAACAUCACUUGAAGGGUCAUCAGCCUUCCUAUUAUCUGCCUUUUUAACCCACCUUAAAGGCACUCACUCCUUUCUCCUGUGCCCUACAUACUCAAAUCUCUCCAUCUCUUUCAAAGUCUGCUCUUGGAUGCUUCAUUCACACAUUUCUGUAAUUGAUUACUAAAAAAAUAUAGUUUCUAGACUUGUGAAAGAUCCUCAGAGAUUACCUUCUAUAACUUGUUCAUUGUAAGUAUGAGAAAGAAUUUUGAAAUUGAUCUUGUCACCCAUAAAAAACUGCUAUGAGACAACAUGGAAGAGGAACUUAGAAAGUGGGGAAAACUAAUGUUUCUACCUGAAGUAACUCUCCAACCUAUCUGUAAUAUUAAGCAAGAACUUAUUUGAUGACUUUUUUGUUUAAACUUUAACUGGAAGAUAAAGAGAAAAAUCUAAUAGCAUGCAGGAAAAACUUCGCUCAACUCCCUAAUGACUUUUGCUUCAAAACCAUUACUUCCUUUGGCCUCAGGAUAUUGUUGGUCAAACAUUGGAUUGUAUGACCUGUGGAAAGCCUUAAGAUAUUUUUGAUAGUGUUUUAUGAUCUUUGGAAAAUCCCUAUUGAGAUGGCCUGCAGUUCAUGGUCUGAGGUUCAUCAGCUGUACUGAUCUGUCAAAGUCCUAUUGACAAGUUGGUUAUUAUUGUUGGACAACUAAAAGAUUCCGGAAAAAAAAAAAGAAACAAAGAAAAGCAGUUUGGGAUGCCUUGCUAAGUGAUUACAUGCCAAGAAGACUAAAGAUAGAAGCACGCCUCCAUUGGGAUCUACUGGUCUAAUUUGGAUCCAAAGUCUAAGAAAUAAGCUGGUUUUAAAUCAGGCAAUAUAGCUGGGAUCUUUCUCAGAAGUGAUGAUAGGAUUGACAGGAUGAUUUCAAUCUACCCAAGAGGAGUUUCUAUCUCAUCCUUCUUUGAAGGUUGCAUUUUCAUUAGAGAAUGGGAGAAAAAUGUAAUUUGGCAAGGACAACAAUCCUUAUCCUCUUUGCUUCAGUAAUGCUCUAUCUCGUUCAUAACGUUUUGAAGUAAAAGGGACUUUUCAGAUUAGUAGAGCAUUCACUUCAAAAUAAAGUGAAGGAAACUGAGUUUCAAAGAAAUAGUUUUUCCUAAGGUCAAACAACAUGUAAAUGGAAGAGCAAGGACUUUAGUCAACUAUAGAGAAUCCAUAUGUAAACAAAAUGACACAACAUCUUAGAACAUAAAUAAGAGGAAAUGAGUGAGCUUUCAUCCAUAUUUAAGUUUAUUGUGAUUCAUUUCUUCUCUAAUGUUUAGGUCUGGGGUAAGGGAACUAUGAUUGAACAAUUGCCAUAAAAAUUAAUUAAGGAUAAAAAUUCUCCUGUGAGGAAAAUCCCUCCAAAAGUAGAGACUGAUAAUUUAUCUGCAACUUCUGAACUUGGGAGAGUUGUCUAGAACACUGAAAUAUUAGUUAACUGAAGAUUACACUACCAGCAUGUGUCAGAACUGAGAUUUGAAUCUGUCUUCUUGGCUUCUAGGCCACUUUCCUAUCUACUAGGAGAGAUAAUGCUCUUCUUUAUGCAUAUCAAAAGUACUUAGUAACUUAAGUCAAAAUAGUUUAGGAAGAAGCAUGAGAAAGCAGUUUCUAGUAAUAAAAAUAACCUGGAGACCCAUUAGUUGGUUGUAUGACACUUGGACUGAUGAUUACAGAGAUGGAAAUGAAACCAGUCAGAUAUAGGGUGUUAGAGAAAAUUUCUUGCAGGGAAGGCUAAUGCAUUAUGAAAUAUUCUCCUGAGGGAAGGAGGUCAACUUUAUAUCAUUUGAAUCUAGAAAUGUUAAUAAAAUAGGUUUGGCAAUUUUGAGGGAAUUAAAAUUAACUGUUCCUUGGACAGUGUACCCAAAGUGAUGUGAAUAUAAUCCCUCUUUUGUUAGCUGUAUAGUCUACUAGCCACUUUACAUUUGUAAGACUCAGUUUCCUUAU